This is a non-coding RNA of Pelobates cultripes (western spadefoot toad), 203 nucleotides long. The record is from the annotation of a GenBank genome assembly. NCBI's taxonomy places the organism in Eukaryota, Metazoa, Chordata, Amphibia, Anura, Pelobatidae.
GGCAUCCUACGAGCUGGAUCCUCAACGACUUGUUUAAGAGAUAGUUCCAGUAGGGAGUUUGGAAUAUGUGUGCUCCUGGCAAAAGCAGCUAUUUUGGUUUUGUAGUUUACAUCUGGAAGAUAAGUCACACAUGAUGAAAACUUCGCCCUCCAUUGUCAUUUGAGCUAUUUCUUCAACUAGUAGAUUAUCUAACUAUUCUAUUU